GAUGAACGCUGGCGGCGUGCCUAAUACAUGCAAGUCGAGCGAACAGACGAGGAGCUUGCUCCUCUGACGUUAGCGGCGGACGGGUGAGUAACACGUGGAUCACCUACCUAUAAGACUGGGAUAACUUCGGGACACCGGAGCUAAUACCGGAUAAUAUAUUGAACCGCAUGGUUCAAUAGUGAAAGACGGUUUUGCUGUCACUUAUAGCUGGAUCCGCGCCGCAUUAGCUAGUUGGUAAGGUAACGGGUUACCAAGGCAACGAUGCGUAGCCGACCUGAGAGAGUGGUCGGCCGCACUGGAGCUGAAACACGGUCCAUACUCCUACGAGAGGCAGCAGAAUGGAAUCUUCCGCAGUGGUCGAGAACCUGACGGAGCAGCGCCGCGUGAGUGAUAAAGAUCUUCGGAGCGUAAAACUCGAUUAUGAGGUGAAAACAAAUUUGGAAGUAGCUAUACACGGCGUGACGGUACCUAAUCAGAAAGCCACGGCUAACUACGUG
This 497-nucleotide ribosomal RNA is filed under the name uncultured bacterium. RNAcentral describes it as "partial 16S ribosomal RNA". It matches the Rfam family "Bacterial small subunit ribosomal RNA", at positions 28 to 507 of the family's 1533-position model. The record is from RNAcentral.